Molecule: ribosomal RNA, 403 nt
Filed under: Orcaella brevirostris (Irrawaddy dolphin)
Lineage: Eukaryota; Metazoa; Chordata; Mammalia; Artiodactyla; Delphinidae
Description: partial 12S ribosomal RNA
Rfam family: Bacterial small subunit ribosomal RNA
Source: RNAcentral
GCUUAGUCGUAAACCUAAAUAGUCCUAGAACAAGACUAUUCGCCAGAGUACUAUCGGCAACAGCCCAAAACUCAAAGGACUUGGCGGUGCUUCAUAUCCUUCUAGAGGAGCCUGUUCUGUAAACGAUAAACCACGAUUAACCUCACCAAUCCUUGCUACUUCAGUCUAUAUACCGCCAUCUUCAGCAAACCCUAAAAAAGGAAUGAAAGUAAGCACAACUAUUGCACGUAAAAACGUUAGGUCAAGGUGUAACCUAUGGAUUGGGAAGAAAUGGGCUACAUUUUCUAUAAUAAGAACAUCUCUUAAACCUACACGAAAGUUUUUAUGAAACCUAAAAACUAAAGGAGGAUUUAGUAGUAAAUUAAGAACAGAAUGCUUAAUUGAAUAAGGCCAUGAAGCACGC